CGGGCCUCUUCUCUUCUCUCCCAGAGUGACCCCAGAGGCUCUGGGGGCCCCGCCAGCGACAGUCGCGGAAGCACAGUCUCUCGUUCUGCUGUGGGUGUGGGGACCUGUUUUAUAACAGCACAUGUGCUGUUUGUUAUUGGACAGAAUUACUAAUAGUCAGGAUCAGGCGGAUGUUUACGUCUUGAGUGUUGACAGUCGUUUAUAAAAUGUUCGCAAACAAUGAUUUUAAGCGGAAUGUAGCUUUCUGAAAAAUUUGCAUAUCCUUCUUUUUCAUACUUCGUCUUAGAAAGAUGAAAACUUGGCAAAGCCUUUUGCAAAUAUUUUUUCCAUUAGAGAAAAUGAAUUACUAACUCUGAUCUUGAGCUUUACUCAGCUGUGAGAUGAGAAGUUUUGCUUUAAAUUUCCCUGAGGUCUUACCAAACCUAUGUGUUCUGUGUUUCCUGCUUUUAUAUCGCCCCUUGCCUGGAAUAUACUUCAGAAUCCUAUAGGGCGGGGGAGUCUGGAGGAAACUCGGUUGGCCAGGAGUCGAUCAUUACUGAAGCCUGGUGCUGGGGACAUGAAGUCCACUGUGGUUUGGAACUCACAGCUCUCUGCUGACGGCAGACCUGAGGCUUGUCUGGCAUCCCUUCUCCAACUGAGUCCAUGGGACAGCGGUCACCGCACUGCCCCCAGCCCCGACCAGGACCGCACUGCCCACCGCUGCUAUGAGAGGAGACGUGCCUUGUUGCAUCCAGGGACACGGCUCAGCCCCCCAAACGGCAGCCAGCCGUCAGGAACGCGUGUGUCGUGGGUGGUGCUCUCACCGCCCGGCACAGCUAGAGGAGAGCCAAGAAUCUGCUAACGGAAGGACAGUUUGACAUUUUGUUUGUUUUCUGUUUUAAUGCCUGGUGAUAUUUACUUUGGGAUCAUAGAGGAUGGUAAAUGGUUGGAAUUGGGAAAUAACGACAAAGUGAUUCUGAAACCAGGCAGCAUCUUAGAGUUGACAAAGCUGCUGCCACGUGAGUUAGGCAACGGGGUACAUUUAAUUAAAUGUGGUGCUUUGGGAAGGAAAUUACGAUGUCAGGGUUUUUAAGACGUUUCCCACAGAGUAGUUUAUGACUUUUACAAAUGAAAAAAUAUAAAAGAUGCAGAAAAUUCCUAACUGAAAAUAACGUUUUACAUAUAUGCAUGACAGAGGAUGAGACGGCUGGAUGGCAAAACCGACUCAGACAUGAGUUUGGGUAAACUCCGUGAGCUGGUGAUGGAAAGGGAGGCCUGGCGUGCUGCGAUUCAUGGGGUCGCAAAGAGUCGGACAGGACUGAGCGACUGAACUGAACUGAACUGAUGUUUAAAAAAAGAGGAAGUAUGUUUGGAAGAAUAGUAAUAAGGCAAACAUGCAGCCUAUAAGGAGAGAGCUGCAAGAUUUCAACUGCACGCCCUUUUAAAACUGCACAACACGGGAGCGGAAUCCGACAAGCGCAUGUACACGUGUAACUGAUGGGCUUUGCUGCGUGGCGGAAAGUGACAGCACUGUGAUCAACUACACUCCCCAAAUAAAACAUUUGAAAAAGAAAAACA
Molecule: long non-coding RNA, 1557 nt
Organism: Bos indicus x Bos taurus (hybrid cattle)
Lineage: Eukaryota; Metazoa; Chordata; Mammalia; Artiodactyla; Bovidae
Source: Ensembl